RNAcentral lists this ribosomal RNA (441 nucleotides) under uncultured bacterium. RNAcentral describes it as "bacterial SSU rRNA". It matches the Rfam family "Bacterial small subunit ribosomal RNA", at positions 958 to 1392 of the family's 1533-position model. The record is from RNAcentral.
AACGCGAAGAACCUUACCAAGGCUUGACAUCGCCGGAAAUCCCGCAGAGAUGCGGGGUCCUUUUUGGGCCGGUGACAGGUGGUGCAUGGCUGUCGUCAGCUCGUGUCGUGAGAUGUUGGGUUAAGUCCCGCAACGAGCGCAACCCUCGUUCCAUGUUGCCAGCAACACCUUCGGGUGGUUGGGGACUCAUGGGAGACCGCCGGGGUCAACUCGGAGGAAGGUGGGGAUGACGUCAAGUCAUCAUGCCCCUUAUGUCUUGGGCUGCAAACAUGCUACAAUGGCCGGUACAGUGGGCUGCGAUACCGUGAGGUGGAGCGAAUCCCUUAAAGCCGGUCUCAGUUCGGAUCGAAGUCUGCAACUCGACUUCGUGAAGUCGGAGUCGCUAGUAAUCGCAGAUCAGCAACGCUGCGGUGAAUACGUUCCCGGGCCUUGUACACACCG